RNAcentral lists this ribosomal RNA (257 nucleotides) under uncultured bacterium. Its description in RNAcentral is "partial 16S ribosomal RNA". It matches the Rfam family "Bacterial small subunit ribosomal RNA", at positions 1243 to 1500 of the family's 1533-position model. The record is from RNAcentral.
AGCGAGGCAAAGCCGCGAGGCGGAGCGAAUCGCUAAAAGCCGUCCCAGUUCGGAUUGUAGUCUGCAACUCGACUACAUGAAGCUGGAAUCGCUAGUAAUCGCGAAUCAGAAUGUCGCGGUGAAUACGUUCCCGGGUCUUGUACACACCGCCCGUCACACCAUGGGAGUUGGGAAUGCCCGAAGCCGGUGACCUAACCGAAAGGGAGGAGCCGUCGAAGGCAGGCUUGAUAACUGGGGUGAAGUCGUAACAAGGUAAC